CCUACGGGAGGCAGCAGUAGGGAAUCUUCCACAAUGGGCGAAAGCCUGAUGGAGCAACGCCGCGUGGGUGAAGAAGGUCUUCGAAUCGUAAAACCCUGUUGUUAGAGAAGAAAGUGCGUGAGAGUAACUGUUCACGUUUCGACGGUAUCUAACCAGACAGCCACGGCUACCUCCGUGCCAGCAGCCGCGGUAAUACGGAGGUGGCAAGCGUUAUCCGGAUUUAUUGGGCGUGAAGGGAACGCAGGCGGUCUUUUAAGUCUGAUGUGAAAGCUGUCGGCUUAACCGGGGUAGGGCAUUUGAAAUUGGGAGACUUGAGUGCAGAAGAGGAGAGUGGAAGUCCAUGUGUAGCGGUGAAA
This 356-nucleotide ribosomal RNA is filed under the name uncultured bacterium. Its description in RNAcentral is "partial 16S ribosomal RNA". It matches the Rfam family "Bacterial small subunit ribosomal RNA", at positions 338 to 686 of the family's 1533-position model. The record is from RNAcentral.